This 67-nucleotide transfer RNA is filed under the name Coptotermes testaceus. RNAcentral describes it as "tRNA-His". The record is from RNAcentral. Lineage: Eukaryota; Metazoa; Arthropoda; Insecta; Blattodea; Rhinotermitidae.
GUCUAAAUAGUUUAAUUUAAAAAAUACUGAUUUGUGGUGUCAGUGAUGUGAUUGGUUGCUUUGGACU